AUCGCUUCUUGGCCUUUUGGCUAAGAUCAAGUGUAGUAUCUGUUCUUAUCAGAGGAGGCGGGAAGCAAAGAAAGAUGGCGACGUCGUCGGCCAGUUUUUCUGAGAGGGAUGCAUGGACCUUUGGAACAAGAAAUACGCUGAGAUUUGAACUCAU
Molecule: non-coding RNA, 154 nt
Organism: Neolamprologus brichardi
Lineage: Eukaryota; Metazoa; Chordata; Actinopteri; Cichliformes; Cichlidae
Source: RefSeq, a predicted model, not a curated record